This 446-nucleotide ribosomal RNA is filed under the name uncultured bacterium. RNAcentral describes it as "bacterial SSU rRNA". It matches the Rfam family "Bacterial small subunit ribosomal RNA", at positions 28 to 456 of the family's 1533-position model. The record is from RNAcentral.
GAUGAACGCUGGCGGCGUGCUUAACACAUGCAAGUCGAGCGAAGCAGUUAAGUUGAUUUCUUCGGAUUGAUUCUUGACUGACUGAGCGGCGGACGGGUGAGUAACGCGUGGGUGACCUGCCCCAUACCGGGGGAUAACAGCUGGAAACGGCUGCUAAUACCGCAUAAGCGCACAGAGCUGCAUGGCUCGGUGUGAAAAACUCCGGUGGUAUGGGAUGGGCCCGCGUCUGAUUAGGCAGUUGGCGGGGUAACGGCCCACCAAACCGACGAUCAGUAGCCGGCCUGAGAGGGCGACCGGCCACAUUGGGACUGAGACACGGCCCAAACUCCUACGGGAGGCAGCAGUGGGGAAUAUUGCACAAUGGGGGAAACCCUGAUGCAGCGACGCCGCGUGAGCGAAGAAGUAUUUCGGUAUGUAAAGCUCUAUCAGCAGGGAAGAUAAUGACG